GAUUAUUUUUGAUGAAACAAAUGCAGCCUUAAUCUAUAGUAUAGAUAUAUGUUAUAUGAAAUAUUAAAAAGAGAAAAAAAGUAAUAAACUCGAAACAGUACACUAAAAUAGUCCAGAGCUAAUACGUACCAAUAUUAGAACAAAAACAACCUUCGAUCACAAUACAAACCGAGGCUGGUCGGGUCUUCAAGCCACCGAAAGGUUCGGGCCUCGAUACGACUCCGGACCAUGAAGGGAGCUCCAGCGAAAAUACUUCCGAUAAACAGAAAACCUUUACAGAACGCAACUGUAGCAAAUGGGUAAAAGGGGAAAUGGAUGAAAGUGAUUUAAGUAACAAACUAUAUACCUAACAGGCCUAAAACAAUUAAAAUACAUUAAACAAUGCCCUAAACGUGUCUGUCCUCGAGUCAGUUCAUGCAAAUUGAUAUAAAUGGCCAUAUCUUAAUGCUUCUUAUUUUAUAUUGAUUGUAGCUUUAAUGGGGGAAACCGCUGAUACUAGUUGACUUGAAACCAAAGCAAAAAAACCGUUGUCUUCUUCCUGAUCGAUAACAUAAUAACAACCCCAAAUUUUAUAAUUACCUUGGGAGGAGGAAGCUAUGGUAGUGGCUGUAAGGUGGUCGAAAAGGAAGAAAAUGCCUCCCGAAGAAUCACAGUCUCGUGCACUUCCGGUUAGUCCUUCGGUUCAGUUUUCUAGUACUGUGGCAUCAGGUACCGGCCCG
RNAcentral lists this long non-coding RNA (719 nucleotides) under Gossypium raimondii (Peruvian cotton). RNAcentral's name for it is "long non-coding RNA (GRAI_LNC000081)". Lineage: Eukaryota; Viridiplantae; Streptophyta; Magnoliopsida; Malvales; Malvaceae. The record is from RNAcentral.